RNAcentral lists this small RNA (26 nucleotides) under Bombyx mori (domestic silkworm). RNAcentral describes it as "ovarian small RNA-10391". The record is from RNAcentral. Lineage: Eukaryota; Metazoa; Arthropoda; Insecta; Lepidoptera; Bombycidae.
AACGCAGGCGAACGAGUUUACGGAGG